Homo sapiens (human) is the source of this 2399-nucleotide long non-coding RNA. Ensembl annotates it as SLC30A4 antisense RNA 1. Its record names the gene SLC30A4-AS1. Lineage: Eukaryota; Metazoa; Chordata; Mammalia; Primates; Hominidae. The record is from Ensembl.
AGAGUGGGUGUGGAGGAGGAAGACUGGAUGCCAAUGAUCCUGAUCUCACUCUGUCACCAAGGCUGGAGUGCAGCAGCAGAAUUUCAGCUCACUGCAACCUCGACUUGCUGGGUUCAAGGGAUCUCCCAAGUAGCUGGGACUACAGGUGCACACCAUCAUGCCUGGCUAAUUUUUUGUAGGGAUGGGGUUUUACCAUGCUGCCCAGGCUGGUCUUGAACUUCUGAGUUCAAGCGAUCCUCCCUCCUGAGCCUCCUAAAGUGCUGGGAUUACAGGUUUAAAAAAUAUCCUGGACUUUGGAAAAUAUUCUUAUAUAAAGAAGCAAAAAGAGGAUGGAAUAGACUUGUGCUAACACUGAAACUCCAGUCAAGUUGUAAACUGAAAAAGAACGUGUUGAAACAAGGAAUUGCCCCAUAGCCUUCACAGGAUCUCACUCUGUUGCAGUGUCACUGGAGUGCAGUGGUGCAGUCUUGGCUUCCUGCACCAUCUGCCUUCCAGAAUCAAGCAAUUAUCCAGCUUCAGCCUCCCGAGUAGCUGGGACCACAGACGUGCCACCAUGCCUGGCUUAUUUUUUUAUUUUUUGUAGAGAUGGGGUUUCACCAUUGUUGCCCAGGCUGGGCUCAACUCCUGAGCUCAAAGUGAUCCAUCUGCCUCAGCCUCCCAAAGUGCUGGAAUUACAGGCUCAGUCUAUACUAGUAUAUUUACAACUAUAUUUUAUUACAAUAUUUAUUAAAUAUUGUUGUCUUUUGCUAGGAAACUUAAAAACCUUAAAGAACAUCAUUUGUGAGCUCCCAAUUGGCACAAAUUACAUAAGGUACUCUACACAUAUUUUUAUUUUCUUAACUUUUUGUUAUAACAAGUGAAAAAUCUAAAAAUCAACUGAAUAAGCUUUUAUGUUGAAAAGUAUACUUAAAUGAUUCUGGUGAUCAUGGUGUUCUAGUAAGAAAAAUGCUUUGCUAGUGAUGUGACAGCGUACGGCAUAUGAAUAAUAUUUGAAAUCUUGCUACUCUUUUCUUAUAUUCUGCCCCAAACCCAAAGGAAGUUUAAAAUGAGAAAAAAGGUAAAGGUAUGAAAGAACCUUUGGUGACUCAGGUGGCUUCAGACUUACCAGUCACAAAAACUUGCAAGCAGGUUCUAGGAGACUUCACUGCAUCCAUAUAUGCUGUUAAUAGUGUUUUUUUUUUUUUUUGAGACGGAGUCUCACUCUGUUGCCCAGGCUAGAGUGCAGUGGUGUGAUCUCGGCUCGGCUCGCUGCAACCUCCACCUCCUGGGUUCAAGUAAUUCUUCCACUUCAGCCUUACGAGUAGCUGGGACUAUAGGCACCUGCCACCAUGCCAAGCUAAUUUUUGUAUUUUUAGUAGAGACGGGGUUUCACCAUGUUGGCCAGGCUGGUCUCAAACUCCUGACCUCAAGUGCCCACUCCAGCCUCCCAAAGUGCUGGGAUUACAGGCAUGAGCCACCGCACCCGGCUUGUUAUAGUCUUAAAACACUCUACACCAGGGGUUAGUAAACGUUUCCUAUAAAGGGCCAGAUAGUAAAUAUUUUAUGUCACUACGCAACUCUCCACGGUAGCAUGGAAGCAGCCAUAGACAAUACGUAACUGAAUGAGUGUGGUGUGUUCCGGUAACGCUUUAUAGACACAGAAAUUCACUUAAAGUCCAUAUAAUUUUCACAUGCCAUGAAAUAUUUACUGUUUUUUUUUGGGGGGGGAUGGGGACAGGGUCUCACUGUCACUCAGGCUAGAGAGCAGUGGCACCAUCACGGCUCAGUGUAGCCUAGACCUCCUGAGCUCAAGUGAUCCUCCUAUCUCUCAGCCUCCUGAGUAGCUGGGAUCACAGGCAUGUGCCACUAUGCCCAGUUAAUUUUUGUAUUUUUUGUAGAGAUGAGGUUUCACCAUGUUGCCAAGGCUGGUCUUGAACUCCUGGGUUCAAGCAAUCCAGCUGCCUUGGCCUCCUGAAAUGUUAGGAUUACAGGCGUGAGCCACUGCACCCAGUGAUUUAAUAGAUGUAAAAAUCAUUCUUAGUUCUUGGGGCAAAUAAAACAGGCUUGCAGGCCAGAUUUGGCCUGGGAGGUAUAGUGUAGACUGGUCCACACGAUUGGAGAGUCAGCAGGCUCUUACUCUCAGACUUCCUGGUGGUCCUCACCAGUCUAUUUUACAGUGGCUUCUUUAUUUCCUUUCUGCCACUGUUGAUGGGACUGUAGCGUCACUGCAUGUGACUGAUACCAAAAGAGAAAGGUUCUUUUAAUUAAUCUUUCCAUACUAUCCAGAAGAUUUUUUUCAGUUUUAUUUCUUAAACAUAUAAGAGGGCAUUAUAAAAUGACAUUAUAAUUAUAAAAGAUUUUCUUUUAAGAACAAUGUUUUUAGGCCUACUAAUAUUACUUAAUAAAAAGAGCAGAUAUUU